Long non-coding RNA from Oxyura jamaicensis (ruddy duck), 2763 nucleotides. RefSeq lists it as uncharacterized. The transcript has 2 exons. The record is from RefSeq and is a predicted model, not a curated record. Lineage: Eukaryota; Metazoa; Chordata; Aves; Anseriformes; Anatidae.
UAAAGCAUUUUUUUCUGUUAAGCUGAUUCUAAUAGCUAUUAAUUUUCCAAUAACUGUUAACUUGUUCGCCGUAUUUCAAGUCAGUGAAAUCAAGUUUACUCCUUUAUGUCCAGUUUCAAUUCCUGGUUUAACUGUGCUCUGUGCAGGAUGCCAGUGUAGAUGAAAAUGCCCAAAUAUUUUUUUCUAUUUUUUUUAGUGGAUUUUUUAGUUAGCAAGAGCAUUUGCAAUACUGCUUUUACCCAAUAUAUGUAUAAGCCCUGCAUGUCUAGCCAUCAGAUAGAAGAACCCACAGCAGUGACUUCAAUAAUAUCUACUCUCUAUGGGCAUGAAUUUCUCCAUGACAUUGCUCCACCACCAGAAACUGUCUCUACUCUUUUUGGCAUUGCCCAGAGGCCAUUCUCUAGCCUGUUUUGCACAAGUCAUACUUCUUCAGCUUUUUCACAUAGGUCCAACACAGUAUCAGGAAAGGGUCUUUCUUGGCAUCAUUGGGAUGUAUAUUCCUAGGUCUGGUGCCAGGGACACCAGAGGACAUGUCUGCAAUGGUUCCAAAAGUGCUGCCAGAACACCACCAUCCCUUUGGCCAGUACACCACCGUCAGGGCUGUCCAAAAAGAAGACAGGAGCAUCCUUCCCUCUUCAGAAGACUCAACCAUUCUUCCAGGGCAACUUAUCAAUGCUGACAGCCGUACUCUGCCCCAGUCCCAAAGCAACACACUCUUCCUUCCUAGAAUUCUUAGGACGAAUAUCUUUUCUGGACAUACUCUUGAUAUCCUCUACAAAAUGUGCCUCCAUUAACUAGUGAGCCUCAUUGACAGUUUUUCAACCCUGAAGCUGUCCGUCCUGCUCAGUUUUGUUUUCCUCAACGAGCUCAGUUGCUUUGGUAGAAGACCCAACUCUCAGUAACGGCUAUAUUUGCAAAGUGACCAAAAGUAUGUAGUUCUAGGGGAAGAAAUUAGUUUUUCCUUCACUCAUUGCACCUCUCCUCCCUAGCUGGAAAGGUGCCAGAAGGGCUAAACAUAGAGACUAGCUUUUGUUUUGCUUUCAGAAAUAGGCCUUUCACAGCUCUUUAACUCUCAUCAGCAGUUGUGUACUACCACUGAGACAAUCAAAACCUACUCCUUAGCCCUUGCUCCACAGGAUUUUAGAAUAGAUCUGCUGCUAGAACAUUGCUUUGGGGAGCAGCUGAGCUUUGAUACCACAGAUUAAAAACCUGUGAUGGAAGCUGGCCUGAAAAGCUACUCCUACUUCUUGACUCUUCCAAAGAUGUGCUGUCUUGCAUCAUGGCUCUUGCUUUUGAGAAAGACAUGCAGGUCUCUUCACUAUAAUUCAUCACAAGCUCUUAUGCUGGCAACUCACUCACUGGGCAGAUGAUACCAAUGUUUGUGCUUUACCCUCUGGGAUGGACAAGAGAUAUGUCUGGAGUAUCCCUUCUUGGCUGGAGAGGGCAUUGAGAAAGAGUUUUGUUCCCAUUUCUCUGAUCAUGAAGGAACGCAGGCCAUAUAUGGGUGACACGGAGCUGUGGAUAGUCAUGCCCAGCAGCAUUAGCAACACAUAAAAGUUAGCAGAGUGACAACUCACCCAGCCUUUCUCUCUAGAUCAUAUUUCUUCUAAGAAAAAACAAACAAACAAACAAACAAAAAACACUCUACAAUUGUCUUGGAUAUACUCCAUCUUUUAUUUUGUCAGAUGAAGGCAAAAUAGAACCCAUCUCCCAAAACAGGACUUACAGACCCAGGUAACUCAAAAAAUAAAUAAAUAAAUAAAAUUACCAAAUCCAGUAUAUAGUGGGUUUUUUUUUCACAGUGAGUUGAGUAUGCAAGGAGUUUGAUUCUUCCCCAAGACAUUAUCAGCCACAGGUAAAUUCUGAUGCAGCAGUGCAGUAAUCCAGCAUCAAAUAUGUCUCCUGGACUGUAGGUUGGGAAAAAAAUAUGGUAAGCGUUUCCUACACAGCACUGCUACAGCAAGAGCUCUCCUCUCCAGUCUGCACUCACUACUUUACAGCUCAAUGUACUCCUUCAGUAUGACCCUGAUUAUUUUGGCCCGUAGGCAACUGCUGGUCUCUUUUUGUAUUGUUUCAUUUAUGUCAAUUGCAUUGGAUGUAUGAGGGUCUCAUUAUAAGAAAGCUUAAAUUAUCUUCAUGAAGCAAAAAAUAAAAAUAAAAAAAAAAAAUAUAGAAACCAUCUAGUUACAGUAGCUUUUAAAUGACAUUAUUUCCUAAAAAGUAAUUCUACUUGGCCUUCAUAAACCUUAGCUGAAACUCAGGCUCUCUGCUUCCUUGUAAGUGGUCGUGGUUGGUUGCACUGUAGCUUAGAACAAAGUCAUUUGUGUCAAAAUUGAUAACUGGAAAUUCAGAAACAUGCUAGGAAUAUUGGUUGUCUGGUUGGCUCUGUAGGCUCAUACUUGUUAGAAAGCUAGAAGGCACCAGAGGCCCAGCUGACAACCUCAGAUUCAGGAUCCUGAAGCCAUAAAUUGGAAAUCUUGGGCUUUGGGGAAGAAAGGUGCUCCUGGAACAUGGGGGCUUUUUCAAGUCUUUACUGCCAACUUUAUUCCAGUGGGUGGAAAAAUUCCCCUUGAGGCAGAGCCCCAGAGGGCCCAGGUCAUUAGAGACAGUAGGAAGCCAGUGAGGAUUUUGUGGAAAGUCCUCCUGGGAUUCAGCAAAAAGUUGUUGAAUGCAAAAAUUCUCUACUGCCACACCUUACUUGCUGCAGUUAGCAUUUUCUGACCAGCACCAUAGCUAUAUCGCUGGGACUAGAGUAAAUAAAAA